CCUAUAUACGUGCAUGUGUUCCAUUCCUAUGGCGUUAGGGACAGUUUCCUGGUGGGUCCCAGCCAGUACUUCCUUGAGCAGACAGAAUUUUGUUCUCCUGAAGUUCAGUGUCCUCUUUUUGGAAGUUCAGGGUCUUCUGCUUUUUGCCAGACCCGUAUUCCUCAGGGUCACCAACUCCACCAUGUAGCGGUCGUCACCAGGCAAUCGUAACCUCUGUAAAGCUCUCUUCCACACUGGUGAGCACCAAGGCUAGUAAGGUUACACCUCGUGUCGGUCCAUCUAUUACCUGGACCAGGACGUUAUCCUCAACAGACUCCAGGAGUCUCCUGGAUUGUCUGGAUCUCGCCAUGCCACUAUCCCAGCAGAUAUCUGGGUGGUUGAAAUCCUCCUCAGGACAAGAGCUUGUGAGCACAACAGUUGUAGCUGAAGCAAGACCUCGCCAACAUACUCAUCAGUUCGUAGCCAUCAACAGCCACGCUCCAGUCAUGGGAAUCAUCCUACCAGCUUUCCAUGAUCUACAUCCAUGGUUCCCUACACAGUCUUCCUCCCAAAGACCACUGCCCACGUCCUGAAGACCCCAGCCCACAAUUCUUGGGAGGCUUUGCACAAGGACUGAUAAGGUAAUUAGCAUAUGAAGCGAGAGUGGGCAGGUUUAGGUAAUGAAUAUGUAUAGACAUCAAUUGAAUAUUCAUUGUUUUGCUGUAUAAAUAUGAGAUAGUUUGUUACUUCGAACAUGCACGUUAGGUGGAAGGAACCCCCUAUGCAUCCAGAACUGACAAUAAAGGAUACUUCGUCACUUA
Molecule: non-coding RNA, 800 nt
Organism: Anas platyrhynchos (mallard)
Lineage: Eukaryota; Metazoa; Chordata; Aves; Anseriformes; Anatidae
Source: RefSeq, a predicted model, not a curated record